RNAcentral lists this ribosomal RNA (468 nucleotides) under uncultured bacterium. RNAcentral's name for it is "partial 16S ribosomal RNA". It matches the Rfam family "Bacterial small subunit ribosomal RNA", at positions 28 to 507 of the family's 1533-position model. The record is from RNAcentral.
GACGAACGCUGGCGGCGUGCUUAACACAUGCAAGUCGAACGGAAAGGCCCUGCUUUUGUGGGGUGCUCGAGUGGCGAACGGGUGAGUAACACGUGAGUAACCUGCCCUUGACUUUGGGAUAACUUCAGGAAACUGGGGCUAAUACCGGGUAGGAUCUCCUGCUGCAUGGUGGGGGUUGGAAAGUUUCGGCGGUUGGGGAUGGACUCGCGGCUUAUCAGCUUGUUGGUGGGGUAGUGGCUUACCAAGGCUUUGACGGGUAGCCGGCCUGAGAGGGUGACCGGCCACAUUGGGACUGAGAUACGACCCAGACUCCUACGGGAGGCAGCAGUGGGGAAUAUUGCACAAUGGGCGGAAGCAUGAUGCAGCAACGCCGCGUGCGGGAUGACGGCCUUCGGGUUGUAAACCGCUUUCGCCUGUGACGAAGCGAGAGUGACGGUAAUGGGUAAAGAAGCACCGGCUAACUACGUG